GACGAACGCUGGCGGCGUGCCUAAUACAUGCAAGUAGAACGCUGAAGGAGGAGCUUGCUUCUCCGGAUGAGUUGCGAACGGGUGAGUAACGCGUAGGUAACCUGCCUGGUAGCGGGGGAUAACUAUUGGAAACGAUAGCUAAUACCGCAUAAGAGUAGAUGUUGCAUGACAUUUGCUUAAAAGGUGCAAUUGCAUCACUACCAGAUGGACCUGCGUUGUAUUAGCUAGUUGGUGAGGUAACGGCUCACCAAGGCGACGAUACAUAGCCGACCUGAGAGGGUGAUCGGCCACACUGGGACUGAGACACAGCCCAGACUCCUACGGGAGGCAGCAGUAGGGAAUCUUCGGCAAUGGACGGAAGUCUGACCGAGCAACGCCGCGUGAGUGAAGAAGGUUUUCGGAUCGUAAAGCUCUGUUGUAAGAGAAGAACGAGUGUGAGAGUGGAAAGUUCACACUGUGACGGUAUCUUACCAGAAAGGGACGGCUAACUACGUG
This 495-nucleotide ribosomal RNA is filed under the name uncultured bacterium. Its description in RNAcentral is "partial 16S ribosomal RNA". It matches the Rfam family "Bacterial small subunit ribosomal RNA", at positions 28 to 507 of the family's 1533-position model. The record is from RNAcentral.